GCCGGGGCAGCGGAGAGCGAGGCAGGCGGCGGAUGGCGGUGGCGGCGGCCUGGGACGGGCCCGAGCGGAGAGAACGUGCGGAGCGGCAGGAGCUGGGGCCGCGGGGGCUGAGAGCGGGGCUCGGCAGGACGGGCCGAGCGCGGCAGCCCCGGGCAGGAGCCGGCGCGGUGACCUCGUGCUCUGCCUGCCGGGGCCGUUCACACAAACACCGUUCAAACAAACACCCUUCACACAAACACCCUUCACAGCCCCUUUCCCCUCUCUCGGUGCCUGGGGCCGGGCAGCAGCGCCCGGCAGGCCAGGGGCCGCCGGCUGCUGUCUGGACCCUCUCAUCACUGUCCCUGCCCAUGGCCGGCGGGUUGGAACUAGAUGAUCUUCAAUGUUUCCUUCCAGCGCAAACCGUUCUAUGAUUCAAUGAUCGUACCCACAGUGAGGGACUUGGGCCUGCCGGGUUCCCCACUCAGCAGAGGGCUCACUGCUGUCACGAUGCGCUGGGGGCACAUGGCUUGUGAUUUCCACAUAGGUUGGAAACAUUUUGUGUGACAGUGCUGGCUUGAGUAGCUGCCCCAGGGGAGGGACUCUCUGCUUUCUCUGGCUCCACCCGUGUGUCAGGCAUGAAACUCAAGUAAAAGUCAAGCUUGAGCCUUGGGAUUUCUGGUCCCUUAGGGGAACAAGAAACAGAAGGCGACGAAAGUAUUUGUGUGCACGAGGGAUGUGUUUCUGUUGGCUGUGUUUAGUACAUAGAAGAUCCAAAAGCCCAUGGAAAGAUGAUGCUGUUGGGAUAGCCAACCUUCUCUGCAGCUACCCCUGUAAAGGCCCUUGGGCAUUGAUGGGGAGUGCUGUGGACAAGAAUCAAGGAGCUCGUCCUGCUUGGUGCUAACCCUGCCCCAGACACAGAGCACAAAUUGCAUCUCAUUGAGCACCUUUUGCUGUCCUUCCUGGUCUGGUGCUGCUGUGGGGGGGAGUGGCCCUUCUCCUUGGCCUCUUGCUCCCUUGCUUCUGGCUAGUCAAAACAUUUGCAGUCUCAGCAUGAGCUGGGUUGGGAAACUGCUUGGGGGGAAGACACACAUAGGAGAAAGCCGUGACUGCCAUCUGGAUCUGGUGCACACCACAGCACAGAGGCAGGAAGAGCAGAGGACAGGGAGGCACAUCUGUUCCCAGCAGCAGCAUGGCUAGGCUUCCCUGGCUCUGGGGAUUGAGUAAGCUUUUGUAGGAGUGCCCAGCUCAUCAGGUGCUUCCCAGAGGUUCACCUGGCAUCUAGCCAGAGCAGCCUUUCGCCAUCUCUCCCCUGCAGUGACUCCUACUGUGCCAAAAGGAGUGGCGCCAAAACCACUGUGCACCCAGGGGCUGAACAUGCUGCCUGUAUGUGUGUUUCCUGGUGGCAGAAAGGCACCUGUUUGCCUACUCUAAUCCCUGAGUAACCUUUGCUUUGCCUUCACUCCUCCAAAACCUUGAGGUACCUGCAGCAGCCUCAGGCUGCCAUCAGUCUGGCAGCUGAAAUGGGCAGAGCUCCAGCCCCCUUGGUUCCUGCCUGCCGUGAGGGAUAACUAUCGGCAAAACACCCGAGGGAGCUGAGCCCUCAGUGAGGCAUGAGAGCAGCGGGCUUCUGGAGGAGUGACAAGCAGGCACGCAAUCCUGUCUCUCUUCCUCACCCCUUCUUGGGUAGAGGCCUGUCCUUUCUCAGCCCUCCAGGACCCUUCUCAGAGCUUGCUUUCACCCUGCCUAGCAGUUACCCUCUGCCAUCUCUUUGGAGGUGCAGGAAGGAGGUGACAGAACCUCACCUGACCCUGCAUGAAGCAGUCACUUCUUCUUGAGUCCCAUUUCUCCUGGGGUUUUCACCCUAGAGGCAAAAGAAAUAGAACAAAAAAUGCUUUCCCAUGUUUGCUGAGCCCAGGUGAUCUUCUUCAGCACCAGGAAGUAUCUGUAAUCAACCUGUUUGGGUGUUGAUGGGGACUGGAGCUGAGUGACAGCAUGCAGCUGUCAUCAGAGAUGUAGCCUGGUGAAUCACUGCCACUUUCCCUGCUGUGGGGGCCAUUCCCUUUCACUCUAGACCCACAUCCUGGAGAGACCCAGUGUGUGCAGCAGCAUGGGGAUGAUGCUGCUGCCCUCCCACACUGUUUCAAGCUCUUUGGGAUUGAUGCUGGACCCUGUUCAGUCUCCACGUCACUUGGGCCUGUCCACCAUGGGUGGCAGGAGCUGUCUGUGCCAGGCAGUGGGGCUGAACUCAGCUUUCCACUUGGCUUCAGUGGCUCUUGGUGGUGAGGGUAGGUUGGCCUGAAGAGAAGUGGUUUGGAUGCAACACUUGUCAUGGGGCUUGCUUUGGCAGAGCUGAGGCCAAGACCAGGCUGCUUUGCUCUCUGACGAUUCUCUGUUUGUGGCUAUAGCUCCACAUUUGUGACUACUUGUUGGCCUGAACGUUUCUAGAACACAAAUGACCUGGCAACAUGGGGCCAGCAGCACAGAACUGGCAGUGUCCUUCCUCUGUCAGAGGAACCUUGGAGGUGCCUCUUGCCACUGGCCAUGCCCAUGCAUGGCAAGGCGUCUGUGCUUGGUACAUGGGUGAAGGCAGAACUGGGUGUUCCCGAGGGACAGCUUGCCUCCUGCUGAGGGAGAGGCAGGCUCAGUGGAGCUGGGCUAGGCCAAGGUGCUGUUGGGCUUGGCUCCAUGUCCUCAGAUGAGAGCCAGGCCGUGGGAUGUGUGUGAAACAGUGCAUGGGAGCUGUGGCAGGCAGCUGGCACCUGGGGGUGGGCAGGAUCUGUACGGCUGGGCCCAUUUCCCUGCUGCAAACCCCCACGGGCUGGUGAGCACUGCCAGGGUCAGGGUGUGCAGCCAGGGCAGUGAGGGAGGAAACCCUCCCAGCUCUCUGCUCUCACUGCCUCCAUGGAGACACCUCCAGUGGGACUGUUUUCAGUGGGUUGUUUCAGCUCUGCUCUCUCAAAGCCCUGAACACUAUAGAGUCACACUAAUGAGUGCAACAGACCCCUGGGCCAGCAGCUCCCUAAGCCUGUGGGGGAGCUGGCUUUGUAGGGAGGGCAUGUCUGAGGGGGCAGGGGUGAGCAAUUUACAUGCCCUGCUCAGCCUACUCUCUUCCUGGGGCACAGGGAGCAGAGGUGUCCUGUUUCCAGGCCAGACCCCGCUGACGCUGUCUGUAAACUGGCUGGGAGAUAAAUAUUCAAGGUUCAGUCAUGCUGGUUAAGCUCCCAGCUAGUGGGUGAAGGGGGCGGAACUCUCCUUUUGCCAGGGAGCUCUGCUUCCAUCUGUCAUAGGAGACUGUCCCAGGCCUGCUUCCUUCUUAGGGUGUUACUGGCUCCUAUUCUGGCGCUGUUACACAGGACACUGUUUGACUGAAAUAGCUGUUGCUCCAAGCUGUGUGACAGGCUCCUCCAGUUGACUCUGGAGGCUCAGUUUUGCAGUUCCAGGUCUCAUGUCCUUGCCCUUGGCUGUGUCUCUGGGUGUUGUUAGUGCCAGCAGCUCCUCUGGGCCAGUGUUGCUAUAGUGGGAGCCAUGAGCAUGACACUUGCUUUCCAGGUUUUUAAUGUGUGCCACAUACUGAAGACCCCUGGUUGUAUGUUGGGAGCUCUGACAAGCCUAUGCUUUUGGCAGUAAGCAUUGUAGCAGCUGUGAUGAGGCCAUUACUUCCUUGCCAGAGAGUUUGACCACAGAGAGUCGCCAAGAUAGCUGGGCCAGGAAGAAAACGUCGCACCCCUGACCCAGACUCCAUUACUGACCCCGGCGGGCUGUUUGUGUCCUCCAAACGGCUGAAAAUGUCCAGCAGCACAAAUGCCCCUGGCCAGAGGAGAGUGUCUCGGGGCUUGGAUGAUGCCACCAAUAAGAAGAAGCAGAAGGAUCGAGCCAAUCAGGAAAGCAAGGAAGUGUCUCGCCCUGAGCUCAAGCAGGCUGAGACUGCCGAGGAGGAGGACUCAGAGGAGGAGCUGCUGCUGGACUGGAAGCAGAAUGCCGAUGAGAUCAUUAUCAAGUUGAACUUGGGCAGUGGAGCUCUGAAGGUGGAGGAUGUACAUGCUGAUUUCACCGACACAGACUGUGUGGUCAAACUACCAGACGGGCGCCAGUGGAGCUGUCAGUUCUAUGAGGAGAUUGAGGGCUCCUGCAGCAAGAUACAGUGCAAGAAGGGCAACUUUCUACAGCUUGUGCUUCAGAAGAAAAUCCCACUCCAUACUUGGUCUUCACUUCUGAAGAAAAGGAAAGAUGGAUCCAAAGAACUGGCCAAAGGGUCUGCGUGCUGGGAGAAUGGGAAGGAGAAGGCUGCUUCUGCAGAGUUGACCCCUGAAGAGCCAAGGGUUGAAGGCACAGAGCCACCAAGAUCCCGGCGGGAGCCCUCCAACCCCAAGCGUGCUCCAGGAAGAAGCGAGGCCCUGGGAGGGAAAAGCCCAGCCAGCCCAGGGACACAGAGUGGCCCCAGCGCCAAGCGGGCAGUAUACCUCAAAGUGGCUCCCACUGAAGAGGAGCCAAAUGCCAGAGUCACUGGGAACACAGAACCCGGCAAAGGGCACAGUGGGAGGGCCGGCAGCCGCCGCAAUGGCAGAGCCAGCCAGGUUGAUGCACCUGUGGCCCUUGCAGACCUCGCACUGCCACUCGAGAAGGCUGUGGUUUUGGCCAAAGAGACUGUUCCCGUGGAGAUACCACCUCUCGCAGCUACCACGGAGGUGUUUCCCCACCGUGUUGCCACCUGUGUUGAGAAGAGAGUCCUGCAGCCAGGCAGCCCUACUGAGGCCUUGCGGAGCCGGGACUGCCUGCCUAUCCUUGGAGAGAGCUCUAAGGUCAUCCCAGUGGCCACCCCACCAAUGGGCAGAGAUGGUGAGAAGAGGGACUGGUCCAAGGACGAUGUGGCUCUGGAGGCAGCAGCUGAUGAGCCAGAGCCUUUUGUAAGCCUGACCUUUGUCAAGAAUGACUCAUACGAGAAGGGCAAUGAUCUGGUGGUAGUGCAUGUCUAUGUGAAGGAGAUCCACAAGGAGACAUCCAAGGUGUUGUUCCGGGAGCAAGACUUCACACUAGUGUUCCAGACGAGUGAUGCGAACUUCCUUCGUCUCCAUCCUGGCUGUGGGCCCCACACAGUGUUCCGGUGGCAGGUGAAGCUCAGGAACCUUAUUGAGCCGGACCAGUGCACUUACAACUUCACUGUAUCUCGCAUUGAUGUCUGCCUGAAGAAACGUCAGAGCCAGCGCUGGGGGGGGCUGGAGGCUCCAGCCACACGAGGUGCAGUGGGUGGUGCAAAGGUUGCCAUGCCUACAGGCCCUACCCCUCUGGAUAAGAACCCUCCGGGCAGUAACCAGCACCCCCUCUCCAGCAAGGAAGAGGCCCGAACCAGUGACAAAGAGAAGCCGCGUGUGGAAGAUGGGGCUCUGGAUGGCGUGGCAGCCCGUACAGCUCCAGAGCACUUGGCAGUGAAGCAAGAGCCACACAUUCCUUCGCCCAAACCAACAUGUAUGGUGCCACCAAUGACACACAGUCCGGUGAGUGCCGAAAGCGUGGAGGAGGAUGAGGAUGAGGAUGAGAAGAAGAAGGUCUGCCUGCCUGGCUUCACGGGGCUGGUGAACCUGGGCAACACUUGCUUCAUGAACAGUGUCAUCCAGUCCCUGUCCAACACCCGGGAGCUGCGUGACUACUUCCACGAUCGGUCCUUUGAGUCAGAAAUCAACUAUAACAACCCGCUGGGUACAGGUGGACGCCUGGCCAUCGGCUUUGCCAUGCUGCUCAGAGCACUGUGGAAGGGUACACACCAUGCCUUCCAGCCCUCUAAACUAAAGGCAAUUGUGGCCAGCAAGGCCAGCCAGUUCACUGGCUAUGCCCAGCAUGAUGCUCAGGAGUUCAUGGCCUUCCUGCUUGAUGGCCUGCACGAGGACCUCAACCGCAUCCAGAACAAGCCCUACACAGAGACUGUUGAUUCAGAUGGGAGGCCUGAUGAGGUGGUAGCUGAGGAGGCUUGGCAACGACACAAGAUGAGAAACGACUCGUUCAUAGUAGACCUCUUCCAGGGCCAGUACAAAUCCAAGCUUGUGUGCCCGGUGUGCUCCAAGGUGUCUAUUACCUUUGACCCCUUCCUGUACCUCCCCGUGCCCCUCCCACAGAAGCAAAAGGUGCUGACUGUCUACUAUUUUGCAAAGGAGCCACACAAGAAACCCAUCAAGUUCCUUGUGAGUAUCAGCAAGGAGAACUCCAGUGCCAUGGAGGUGCUUGACUCAGUGGCCCACAGCGUGCGUGUGAAACCAGAGAACCUGCGCCUGGCAGAGGUGAUCAAGAAUCACUUCCACCGCGUGUUCCUGCCGUCUAACUCACUAGACACAGUCUCGCCAACGGACCUGCUGCUUUGCUUUGAGGUGCUGUCCCCAGAGCUGGCCAAGGAGCGUGUGGUGGAGCUUCAAGUCCAGCAGCGUCCGCAGGUGCCCAGUGGCCCUGUUGCCAAGUGUGCAGCCUGCCAGAAGAAGCAGCUGCCAGAGGAUGAGAAGCUCAAGCGCUGCACGAGGUGCUAUCGAGUCGGUUACUGCAAUGUGGCAUGUCAGAAAACACACUGGCCAGACCACAAGGCUUUGUGCCGUCCCGAAAACAUCGGUUUCCCCUUCCUCAUCAGUGUGCCCGAGUCCCGCCUCACCUACGCCCGCCUGGCCCAGCUGCUGGAGGGCUAUGCAAGGUACUCGGUCAGCGUGUUCCAGCCUCCAUUCCAGUUAGGCCGGAUGUCGCCGGAGCAGGGGCUGCAGCCUCUGCACUCAGACAAGCUGGAGCCCCUGGCCAAGAGCAGCUGUGCAGCAGUCACCUCUGCCCCUGAGCUGGGAGAUGGGGACAGGGUUUCCAGCCUCCCGCAGGAGCCCCCACUCUCGCCAGCUGUGCCUGAACUGCAGCCAGAGAUGGGGGAUACUACCACUGUUCGGAGCAAGGUCCUGACAGCCAGGAGUUCCCUGCUGAGCUUGGAUUCGGGGUUCUCUGAGCACAUGGAGUCGCAGGGUGACAGCUGUUGUGAGAAGGAGCCGUCCUAUGAGAGGGCCCUCAAGCCAGAAGCUGCCAUCCCUGGGUACCAACACACUCCAGACUCACUGAGUGCCCGUGCCACACAGUUCUACAUCACUAAGAUCGACACUGCCAACCGAGAGCACAAGCUGGAAGACAAAGGUGACACCCCCCUGGAUCUGACAGAUGACUGCUCCCUUGCCCUGGUGUGGAAGAACAAUGAGCGCCUCAAGGAAUUCGUGUUGGUAGAAUCCAAGGAGUUGGAGUGUGUGGAGGAUCCAGGCUCAGCCAGUGAAGCAGCCCGGGCUGGCCACUUCACCCUGGAGCAGUGCCUCAAUCUCUUCACGAAGCCUGAAGUUCUGGCCCCAGAGGAAGCGUGGUACUGCCCCAAGUGCAAGCAGCACCGCGAGGCUUCCAAGCAGCUGAUGCUGUGGCGGCUGCCCAAUGUCCUCAUUAUCCAGCUCAAGCGCUUCUCCUUCCGCAGCUUUAUUUGGAGGGACAAGAUCAAUGACAUGGUGGACUUUCCUGUCCGGAGCCUGGACCUGAGCAAAUUCUGCAUUGGUCGGAAGGGUGAGCAGCAGCUGCCUAUGUAUGACCUGUAUGCUGUGAUCAACCACUAUGGAGGUAUGAUCGGAGGGCACUACACAGCAUACGCCCGCCUGCCCAACGACAAGAACAGCCAGCGCAGCGACGUGGGCUGGCGGCUCUUUGAUGACAGCACAGUCACCACCGUGGAUGAGAGCCAAGUGGUGACCAGAUAUGCGUAUGUCCUCUUCUAUCGCCGGAGGAACUCUCCUGUGGAGAGACCCCUGCCAGGGCAUCCCUCAGACCACCGCACCGAGCGCACCCCCUCUGCUGAAGCUGCUGCCAGCCAGGCUUCUCUGAUCUGGCAGGAACUGGAGGCUGAAGAACAAGAGCUGCAGCUUGAGGCACCCCAAAGGCCUGCAAGAAGCUCCUGGAGGCCCUGUGGGCAGAAGCGGAAUCCGAGCACCCCCCAGCACCCAGAUGAAGGCUGCGUCAGAUACUUUGUCCUGGCCACCACGGCCGCAAUUGUGGCUCUCUUCCUGAACGUCUUCUACCCGCUCAUUUACCAGCCCGGCUGGAGAUAGGCCCAGGCGUGUGGCCAGCUGCAGGAGCAGGGCCGCCAGGGCACGCGCCGUCCUAGGACGCUAUGAGACGAAGACAUGAGGCAGCAGGACAGAAAACGCUGGGAAAGACUCGCCAAGGGAAACAUGGGGCUGUUGGCUCCUGCCUGUCUGCUCUGGUAUCUCCUGUGCCAGCUGGCAGGCCUGUGUGGCCAGCCUGCUACCUUGCCAAGGCACAGCCCAGAACCAGAAGCUCUUUUGCCCUUCCUUGCUGCCCACUGGGAGCGGGGCAGACGUCAAGGCUACCUGCUGCUCAAGAAGGGACAUUGCUGCUGCAGUGAAGCUGGGGCCUGAGAGCCCCAUGGACACAUCAGCCAUCUCUGCUUGGCUCCCAAGAAGGAAGUGUGGAGACCUGCUGGGAGGCUGCAGCAAGGGCAGGAUGCCCUGACACGGGCCCUGGCUGGCCACCUCUCUCAGCUGUGCUGCUGCAGGAGCCUUGAGCUUCCCUAGAGCUGGGACUACCCAUGGUCCUUGGCCAGCCCAGUCUGCCCUGCUAGCCUUCUGCUGAGCCUUCUGGUGCCAGCUGCCUGUGUGCCUGUGUGUGCCAUGCUCCUGUGCUGGGGCUGGACAGGCUUGUUGCCAAGGGCUUGUGAGCUUCCCUGCUCCAGUCCCAGACAGCUGCUGUGGAGCCUGGCAAUCCAGACUGGGGUGCCCAUGGGACUGCCCCCAGUGCCGUUCGGAUCUGGCCUGGCCCCCGAAGGAGCCCCGCCGCUGGCUGCGGAAGGCCUCCCCGAGCGUUUCGCCAGCCCCGCCGAGCGCCCAGCCCCCUCCUACAGCAGCAUGGAAGAAGUCGAC
RNA transcript from Poecile atricapillus (Black-capped chickadee), 8900 nucleotides. It is a transcript of the gene named ubiquitin specific peptidase 19, with no coding region annotated. The transcript has 28 exons. The record is from RefSeq and is a predicted model, not a curated record. Lineage: Eukaryota; Metazoa; Chordata; Aves; Passeriformes; Paridae.